AUACUUACCUGACAGGGGAGAUACCAUGAUCACGAAAGUGGUUUUCCCAGGGCAAGGCUUAUCCCUUGCACUCUGGAUGUGCUGACCCCUGCGAUUUCCCCAAAUGUGGGAAACUCCACUGCAUAAUUUGUGGUGGGGGGGGCCUGCGAUCAGUGUAUGGCUGGCACUUC
Small nuclear RNA from Nycticebus coucang (slow loris), 170 nucleotides. RefSeq annotates it as U1 spliceosomal RNA. NCBI's taxonomy places the organism in Eukaryota, Metazoa, Chordata, Mammalia, Primates, Lorisidae. The record is from RefSeq and is a predicted model, not a curated record. The transcript has a single exon.